Molecule: ribosomal RNA, 440 nt
Filed under: uncultured bacterium
Lineage: Bacteria
Description: partial 16S ribosomal RNA
Rfam family: Bacterial small subunit ribosomal RNA
Source: RNAcentral
CCUACGGGAGGCUGCAGUAGGGAAUUUUGCGCAAUGGGGGAAACCCUGACGCAGCAACACCGCGUGAAUGUUAAGCCCUUCGGGGUGUAAAGUUCUGUCAAUAGGGACGAAUUUUGACUGUACCUAUAAAGGAAGCACCGGCUAACUCCGUGCCAGCAGCUGCGGUAAUACGGGGGGUGCAAGCGUUGUCCGGAAUCAUUGGGCGUAAAGCGUUCGUAGGCGGUAUGUCAAGUCUGAUGUUAAAGCCCGGGGCUCAACUCCGGUUCGGCAUUGGAUACUGGCAAACUAGAAUGUGGUAGAGGUAAAGGGAAUUCCUGGUGUAGCGGUGAAAUGCGUAGAUAUCACGAAGAACCCCGAUUGCGAAGGCAGCCUGCCGCAGCGUUACUGACGCUGAAGCUCGAAAGCGCGGGUAUCGAACAGGAUUAGAUACCCCUGUAGUC